GACGAACGCUGGUGGCGUGCCUAACACAUGCAAGUCGAGCGAAUGAAGUUCCUUCGGGAAUGGAUUUAGCGGCGGACGGGUGAGUAACACGUGGGCAACCUGCCUCAUAGAGGGGAAUAGCCUCCCGAAAGGGAGAUUAAUACCGCAUAAGAUUGUAGUACCGCAUGAUACAGCAAUUAAAGGAGCAAUCCGCUAUGAGAUGGGCCCGCGGCGCAUUAGCUAGUUGGUGAGGUAAUGGCUCACCAAGGCGACGAUGCGUAGCCGACCUGAGAGGGUGAUCGGCCACAUUGGGACUGAGACACGGCCCAGACUCCUACGGGAGGCAGCAGUGGGGAAUAUUGCACAAUGGGGGAAACCCUGAUGCAGCAACGCCGCGUGAGUGAUGACGGCCUUCGGGUUGUAAAGCUCUGUCUUCAGGGACGAUAAUGACGGUACCUGAGGAGGAAGCCACGGCUAACUACGUG
Molecule: ribosomal RNA, 464 nt
Filed under: uncultured bacterium
Lineage: Bacteria
Description: partial 16S ribosomal RNA
Rfam family: Bacterial small subunit ribosomal RNA
Source: RNAcentral